GAUGAAGAACGUAGCGAAAUGCGAUAAGUAAUGUGAAUUGCAGAAUUCCGUGAAUCAUCGAAUCUUUGAACGCACAUUGCGCCCCCUGGUAUUCCGGGGGGCAUGCCUGUCCGAGCGUCAUUGCAACCUUCAAGCGCGGCUUGUAUGUUGGGUCUCGUCCCCCGUGGACGGGCCCGAAAGGCAGUGGCGGCGUCCCGACAUGGUGCCCGAGCGUAUGGGAAUCCUCUUCCGCUCGAAUCGGCCCAUGCGGCGCUGGUCGUAACCAAAUUUUUUACCGGUUGACCUCGGAUCAGGUAGGGAUACCCGCUGAACUUAAGCAUAUCAAUAAGCGGAGGA
RNAcentral lists this unclassified non-coding RNA (336 nucleotides) under soil metagenome. RNAcentral's name for it is "partial contains 5.8S ribosomal RNA, internal transcribed spacer 2, and large subunit ribosomal RNA". The stretch from base 1 to 120 matches the Rfam family "5.8S ribosomal RNA", at positions 35 to 154 of the family's 154-position model. The record is from RNAcentral.